UUCGCAAUGCCCGAAAGGGUGACGAAGCGACGCCGCGUGGGUGAGGAAGGCCUUCGGGUUGUAAAGCCCCGUCAGGAGUUAAGAAAUGUAAGUGCGCUAAUAUCGCAUUUACUUGACGAAGGCUCCAAAGGAAGCCGCGGCUAACUCUGUGCCAGCAGCCGCGGUAAUACAGAGGUGGCAAGCGUUGUUCGGAAUUAUUGGGCGUAAAGAGCACGUAGGUGGGUUUGUAAGUCAGAUGUGAAAGCCUUCUGUUCAACGGAAGAAUUGCAUCUGAAACUGCAAAUCUUGAGUAUAGGAGGGGAGAAUGGAACUUCUGGUGGAGCGGUGAAAUGCGUAGAUAUCAGAAGGAACGCCGGCGGCGAAAGCGAUUCUCUGGUCUAUUACUGACACUCAGUGUGCGAAAGCUAGGGGAGCAAACGGGAUUAGAUACCCCGGUAGUCCUAGCUGUAAACGAUGGGCACUAAGUAGAGGGGUUUU
Molecule: ribosomal RNA, 477 nt
Filed under: Candidatus Scalindua marina (nom. nud.)
Lineage: Bacteria; Pseudomonadati; Planctomycetota; Candidatus Brocadiia; Candidatus Brocadiales; Candidatus Scalinduaceae
Description: bacterial SSU rRNA
Rfam family: Bacterial small subunit ribosomal RNA
Source: RNAcentral